Molecule: long non-coding RNA, 2688 nt
Filed under: Salmo salar (Atlantic salmon)
Lineage: Eukaryota; Metazoa; Chordata; Actinopteri; Salmoniformes; Salmonidae
Description: lncRNA (ENSSSAG00000096390.1)
Source: RNAcentral
AUCAGAAUAUAAUCAGUGCAUCACAGGCACAUAAAAAUGAAAUCAGUGCAUCACAGGGGCAUCACAGUGAAAACAGUGCAUCACAGGCACAUCACAAUGAAAUCAGUGCAUCACAGGGGCAUCACAGUGAAAUCAGUGCAUCACAGGCACAUAAAAAUGAAAUCAGUGCAUCACAAGCGCAUCAGUACAUGUACUAUAUGAGAGCAAGAGUAUUUGCAGAGUUGCUAUUUAACACAAGUGGAAGUUCUCCUAAGACUAGGUAUGCAAUUUUCUUUACAAAUUUACCAAUAAUCUGACUAUUACUCAAUCAUGUCAAACAAAGGAACAUAAAGGCUCUCAUCAGCACUUUGAAGGACAAAAGGCUUAUACAAUUUCAGAUCAUCAACUUUGUCAUCAAAACCAUCAAACACAGUGAAUGCAUGCUGGUAGAGUAAAUGGCUUUCUGCAUAGUGACCUGAAGUGACGCUGUCAACUCCUCACCACCAGUAAAAUCCCUCAGGGAAAAUGCUUUCAUCGGUCCAUUCUCCAUAUGUCGCAAUGGUGAUGUCUCCCAGUGAUGACCUAUAGCAAAUUGGUUUUUUUGGCAAGGGACUUAGUAAUGUUCUUGAAGUUUUUGAGGGUGUUCUAAAGAGUUUGUGCUUUGCCUCAAACCUCAUAUGUAAUAAAGGACUGCUUUGUCUUAUGCAUGCUGGGUAAUGUAUCAUAAAGUGAUGUGUGGGUAUUACGUUAUGUGGGUACAACUGUUUGAAAAGUGUGUGAUGUUCAGUUAUCAAAUGCUUCAAAUACUGUCAUGCCCUGGCUAAGAAAAGUAAAAAAAAAAAGAUUAUUGCAGUAAGAUGAGCAGCAAAUUCAAGUUCUAAUUUCCUGGUGGAACAACAUGUCCCAAAAUCAAGGGAACGUUCCUCACAAGACAGAGUUUGAAAAUAAUUAAGUGCUAUGCUAUUUCCACUGUUCUCUAGGUUGACUUUAGUUGAAUGGUUUUUGCGUUCCAUGUACCCAUAGUCAAAUGAGUAGAUUCUAGAGAGAAGUGCACGUUUCUAAAGAGCAUUUUCAGAGACAUAUUCAAACAACAAUUUUAACUCAAACUGAGCCACCCCUACAAGAAUGUCAUGCAUUAUGUCCAACGAAAAAUGACUACAAACAUGGAAGUGCUGCAAACUGUUCAGUUUAGGGUCUGACUGCAACUGAUUCAAAUGCAUUUCAAAUUGAUCUUUACCACACAAAGGUCAUCCUCACUGUAAACUGUCUGAGCAUUAGACUUUUCUAUGAAACAGAACCGGCAAGCAUCCCCAAAUUGUCUCCAGUUAUUUGGCAGAUAGAGUUUAUGUCACUUAUCAGUUGAAAGUCAUUUACACCAUCACUCCAAUUUAACAUCAUUAACCAAGGGCUCUAGAAUGGCAUAAAAUACAUAUAUCUUUAGAUCUUGAUAAUGAAAUAAUGAAAAUAAAUUAAUAUUCAUCACAGCAGAGUUAAACUUGGGUGGCAGAUUCCCGAGGACAAAAUAAAUGGCGCCUAUCUUGUGAACACCACGCUUGGAUCCAAGCAGGUUGGCAGUUUCAAAGUCAUCAUAGUACAAAAUAAUGUCAAGGUUUUGAGAACAAGGGAUGAGUCUUAAAGUAACUUCCAACACAAAAGUCAUAUGUGUCUUCCACAGAUCUAUCCCUAGGUGCAUUUUCCAAUAACUUACAGAUUUCAGAAUUGUCGACACAUGAACGGCAAUAUUUCCAGUAUAGGAAUACAAAAGUAUCUUUCACUGGGACUUCAUACAUGCCUGUUUGUUUAUUUCGCCUGCUAUCAUAUCUAACUCCCAACACUACUUCUACUGGCUCCACAACAUCUCUUGGUUUCUGUGUUAAAACUGGCAAAUGGGUUUUGAAGUUCUCAAAACUAUCCUUUACAGCAGAUGAAGAGGGGUUAUCCAUAGGCAUAACUGACAGAACAUCUUGUUUAAUUUGGGAGUGCAGCCCAGUAGUAAGCUCUUCUAAAUCACAAACUACUGUUGACACAACACUAUUUGCAACACCACUAGCUUGCAACUUGGCAAUGAAGGAGGCACACAUAUCUUUAUCAAGACUGUCCAUUCUUCUCAAAACAAUCACUGAGUGUUAUCAUGUGGGACACCAAUGUUGCCACCCAUUUGUGGAGCUUCUGACUGGACUGGAGAAUCAGCAACAUGAGAGGGCACUUUUAAGAUGAAUGCAUCAACUACUUUACCAAUAUCCUUAUGAAUACUAUUCAAAUGUUUUCUGAAACCGGAGUAUGUUGAAAACUGCCAUCUACCACCAUCUUGAGCACUGACCAAUCUAAACUUGGUGGAGGGAUAGAAACUAUGCUCAUUUCUCAAAUUAUAUGUCAAUGACUGGCUGUUUCUGUGCAACGCUUGACAACAACAGCACCUUAACAUACAUUUAUCUAGUUAAGAAGUUUUGUCCUCAACUCUAUCACGCUAGGGACCUCUCUUGUUUUGUCUACAUCAAUGUUGUAGAUGGUUGUCUGCACAAAUGUGUAGAAGUUGACAAGAGUAUCGUCAUACUUCAGGUUAAAGACAAAGUGGGCUUUGAACAGUUCAUCAAACGCACACAGACCACUAGUUGCCUGGCAGGGAACAAGCCUCUUGUCCACCAUGAUGUAGUAGUUGUCAAUCUUGCUCUGUCUUCUUCCAACGGCAAGGAGGUAUGGCUGUCGACC